This is a non-coding RNA of Schistosoma curassoni, 48 nucleotides long. NCBI's taxonomy places the organism in Eukaryota, Metazoa, Platyhelminthes, Trematoda, Strigeidida, Schistosomatidae. The record is from Rfam.
AUCCAGCUGACAAGUCCCAAAUAAGACGAAACACGCGUCAAACUGGAU